GGUAUAUCUGCUUAGGUAACCGGACACUAAGGGUGUCUUGCGUGUAGCAUUGUCUGUAUCAGAAGGCAUCACUUAAGGAAUUUAAAUAGUUCUGAAUUAUAAAUUCGGUUUUCAUACAUUAAUAGAUUUGGCAAGGCUGUGUUAACUGUGGUGAAUACCACGACUGGGAAUCUAGUAAAAUGUACAAGGCUCAAUAUUGUAGGGAAAAUGCAGUUAGAAUGUGUUUAUUCUGUGAAGCCAAAUUGUUAGAUCAGAAAAGACGGAAAAAGUAAAGUCUUGGGCUGGGGAUGUGGCUCAAGUGGUAGUGCGCUCACCUGGCAUGCUUGGGGCACUGGGUUUGAUCCUCAAUACCACGUAAAAAUAAAAUAGAGGUAUUGUGUCCACCUAAAACUAAAAAAUAAAUAUUAAAAAAGUAAAACCUUAUCCAAAUGAAUAUUGUAAUAAAACUUGAUGAUUAAACAGAGAUUAAGUGGUUCACUGUACAGAAUGUCACUUUUCUUAAAAUUGUAUCACUGGUGACUUGAAAUCUAUUAUUGGUGCUGGGGAUUGAACCCAGGGCCUUGUGCAUGUGAGGCAAGCACUCUACAAACUGAGCUAUAUCUCCAGCCCUUUUACUAUUAUUUUUUUGUUCCACAAAUACAUUAAAGUUAGAUGAAGUUAGGUUAGAUAAAUGCUUACAGAGAAACUACCUGCUAUCUGCUUCCUUUUUUCUUCCACACAGGUUGAUACUCAGUUGUGAGGGUGGUAAACCGUCUUAAACCAUGAGAACAAGAACAAUCCAUAAUGGAUUAUAGAUAUAUGUAUUGGAGAAAAUGUCACCUGUGUUAAUUUGAAAGGCCAAUUAACAAUCUUAUAGCUCUAAGGGAAGUGGUUCAGAGAAAGAAUGUAUGUUGGCUAUCACUUUUUGCAAAAGCAAGAUUCAACCAAGAGAUGUCAAUUAAGAACCAGUUUGCAAACAGAUUGAAGAAAAUAGAACUAUUCUGCUGGAACCCUUGUUGUCCGUGCACAUGCUACUUAGAGUCUCCAGUGGUCAGUUUGGAUACUUAGUAUCUCAAGCAUUUUCUCAUCACUCAUCUUUUCUAGGACAACACAUAUUUACAGACCAACAGAGCUAGAAAGGAUCCUUGAGAGAUUAACUUCAAUCUUCUCAAUUUAAAGCUUAAAUGUGGAUAAAGGUAAGUGGUUUACCCAAGGUCAAAUGUCUAACUCAUCAGAUUCAGUUACAUUGGCCAAGGGAGAAUUUUUGGCAUUUGUACAGAUAUUUCUUCUUGACCCUUUAAUGCAGAAUGGGCAAUUUCAUCUAAGGCUUCCACCCAAUUCACCUUCCUCAUCAAGUGUAAUUUUUUUAUGCAUUAGAUCAUUUAUGCCUCUAUUGAUUUUAGUACAAUCCAAGUUGUUUAAAUAAGGAGAUCCCCAGCACAGUGUCUGAAAAACAAUAAAAGGUUAUUUCUUUCAAAUUAUGGUAGAGGUGGGUGGUCCAGGAUUCGUAGGGCUGGUUUGUCAUCUUUGACAUAUAGUUAUGUCAGCAUCUAAAUGGUUAAGGAACUCUUACUUCUACUUCCACUGCAGAGAAGGAAUGCAGGGACAGGGCAAGAGAAAUACACACCCCAGUACUUUUAAAAAAUAUAUUUUGACUGAUAAAAAUUAUGUAUAUUAAUGGUAUACAACAUACUGUUUUCAAAUAUAUAUCCAUUGUAGAAUGGCAAAAAUCAAGUUAUUGUAUACAGUCUCACAUAUUUAUUUGUGCAUUAUUUAUAUAAUUAUUUUGGUGAACACUUAAAAUCUACUCUUAGUAAUUUUUAAGUGUAUAAUACAUUGUUAUUAAUUAUAGUUACCAUGUUAUUCAAUACCUAAUUGAAAUUUUGUAUCCUUUGAUUAACAUCUCUACAGUGCCAACACCACUCCAAGCCCCUGGUAACUAUCAUUUUACUCUUUACAUUUGGCUUUAGAUUUCACUUAUAAGUGAGAUCAUGCAGUAUGUGUCUUUCUGUGCUUGUAUAUUAAUAUUUCACUUGGCAUAAGGUCCUCCAGGUUCAUCCACGUUGUCACAAAUUAUAGGACUUUCUUCUUUUUUAAAGACUGUACAAUUUUCCAUUUUUGAAUGCAUACCAUAUUUUCUUUAUGCAUUCAUCCAUUGAUGAACACGGGGUUGGAGACAUCUCUUUGACAUUGUUUUCAUUUCCUUGGAAUUAUAUACAGUAGAGGGAUUGCUGGAUUGUAUGAUAGCUCUAUUUUUAAUAUUUUGAGGAACCUCCAUAAACUCCCAUAACAGCUAUACUAAUUUCAGUCCCACCAAUAGUAUGCAAGGAGAAUUUUUUCUCUACAUCCUUGCCAACAGUUGUCACCUUUGCUUUAUUUAUUUAUUUUUUAUGCUAUCCAUUCUAAUAGGUGUGAGACAGUAUCUCAAUGCAACUUUUUUUUUUUUUUUUGUAGCAGGGAUUGAACCCAGAGGUGCUUCACUAUUGAGCUAUGCCCCCACCUCUUAUUUUUUGAGACCGGGUCUUUCUAAGUUACUGAGAGUAACCUCGAGUUUGCAAUGCUCUUGCUUAGACUCCUGAGUAGCUGGGAUUAUGCCUUGUGCCUUUGAUUUUCAUUUCCCUAAUAAUUAGAUGUUGGGCAUUUUUCAUAUAUUUACUUGUUACAUGAUACAAUCCAGAAGUCACAUCCAUCAUCACUUUCUCCUACAUCCCAUUGGAACUUAACUUUGAAAGAGGUGGCUAGAAAAUAUAAACUCUUUCUAGCCAACUAAAAUGUGGGAAUUCUACUUAUAAAGUACGGAGUGUGAAUAUUGGUGGUCAAUUAGUUUCUACACCAAUAACUCCACCUCAGGGAUAAGCUACACAGACAUCUAUUAUUGACUCCAUUAAAACAAAUUAUUUUAAAAACAUUUUUAACCAUGGUAAAGUGUAAAACUAAAAAGGAACUCCAUUUGUACUGAAAAAAAGCCCAGAAUGUUUAUGAGUAAAAGGCAAUAAAAAUAAUGCAAAUGGCUUUGGGACUCCAACAAGAACAAGCAUUGCUGAGAACAAGACUUUAUUUUUUUCUCCAUACAAGGCAAAAGUUUGCACAAAACCAAAAUUAAUGUGAGAAGGUAAACAAAAGGUAUUUACAUAUUCCUUUCAUCUGCUUCAAAGUCUCUAAAAAAUUAAAAAGUGCGUGUUGGGGGCCAUGUUCAUUUCUCAUGUAUUUCUGAUGGUUAUAUCUGAGUAGAGAGCUUUCUUAACUACCAGAAAAUGGAGGUCCCUAUUUAUAAUACCCACUUGAGAUUCCAAGUGUUGAGACUACAAGUCCUACAUGGCAUCAUCACACAUGUGUGCCCAACAUUGCAGAAUCCUGAUUGCUUAUUGCUUAACAGUAUUUUCCCCUUUGUUUUUUUAAAUAUUUAUUUUUUAGUUGUAGUUGGACACAACACCUUUAUUUCACUUAUUUAUUUUUAUGUGGUGCUGAGGAUCGAACCCAGGGUCUCAUGCGUGCAGGGCAAGCACUCUAACGCUGAGCCACAACCCCAGUCCCUCCCCCGUGGUCUUUUAAUACCUGUACUGGAAAACAGAGAGAAUAUCCCAUUCUUCUAAUAGAGUAGUACUCAAGAAUAUUCCUGUUCCUAAAAUAUAUUUUUUUUCACUUGAUCUCAUUAGCAGGAUUCCUUAGUGUCUGAUUCAAAAUCACAUAUUGAUAACAUGGAAAUUAACAAAUGGCUAUUAACAGCAAGCGUUAAUACAUACCAAGUCUUUACUAUAUGUCAGGUGCUCUGCUAAGUGCAUGAAACAGAAUCCUUUAGUCCUCUCAACAACUCCAUGAAGUAGUUACGAUUUUUAUAGAUGAGGAAAUUUUGUAGAUAAGGAAAGUGAGAUUCGGAGGUUAAGUUCUCUUAGAAAGCUAACUAGCAAUUUGACAGAGCUGGAACUUAAACAUAAGGCUUGACCCUUUUAAAAAUUUUGAUCAGAAAUGAUAUAUUCUGCCCUUAAAAAUGCACAGAUUCCUCUAACUGGUGUCCACAAUAAUUUUUAUUAGUUAGGUAGGCAUCUUACUUAAUCUUCUCAUCUUCCAGUCCUAGAAAUGUAUGAAAGAACUUGAUCCAUUUUCAACUUAUAGAAUAUUAGUAAGCUUCAAAUGGAAAAUGUGUUAACCAUUCAUAUUAAGAUAUUCAUUUUUUUUUUGUAUUUUAUUUACAGACAGGGUUUCACUAAGGUGCUUAGUGCCUUGCUUUUUUGCUGAGACUGGCUUUAAACUUAUGAUCUUCCUAUCUCAGCCUCCUGAGCUGCUGGGAUUACAGACGUGCGUCACCAUACCCGGUGCCAUUUUGGUUGUUUUUUAAGUUUGCAUUUUAACAUACAAAUGGAAAAACAUAUUUAAUAAUUUAAUACAGUGGUUGAAGAGUUGAUUUUUUCCAAUUAAUUAUGAGUUUGGUUGCUGAAAAUCACUGCACAUGGUUUACAAAGAGUUUCAAAGAAUGUUAUUAUUGAUUACAAAAUACACUCAAAACUAAACAUUAUAAAUGUAUCUUUCCUCUCAUAAGCCAGAAAGCACUUAGUUAUUUUCUAGAUCUUAAAGCAGAAGUUUUCAAAUACUCAUUUCAAUUUAGGGCCCUGCGAAGAUCUGUGGCAAAAUGCGAAAAAUAAGUGAAAUUGUUAUGUUGCUGGUUUAUUAAGUUUGCUAACACUUUUUUUCCCCAAAAUGAUACCUUUUCUACUUUUUAGUAUUGAUAUCCUUCAUUCCUUUUUUCUCCUCAUAUCCCCUUGAGAAUAUAUUUCCUAAUUUCAAACUAAGGAUUAGUUUUUAGAAAAUAAAUACCUUUAAUAGUUAAAAAACCCAGUCAUCCCAAAGAAACAAACCCAUCACAUAUCAUUAAUUUCUCAAAAGGUUAAAUUGUAAUAAUUGGUUAUUAGAGUAUGGAAAUUGGAGUUCUGGGAGAGGACUAUAUGUGAGACUCUCCUGGUUAUCAAGACAGGCCUUGGCUAAGAUUCACACAUUCAAGCACUGUUGAUCUCCAAGGAAGUGGGGGAGAAGGCAAUAACUAAUCAAAACUGAUGAGCUGAAAAACUAGGCAGAAGGGAGGAAUGUGGGUUCCUUGUGGGUAGACAGCCUUAUAAGUAGCCUAGCUGUCAGGAUAUAAAGCUUUAGGCCAGUAAAUAAAGUGGGAGAAGGUGAUCCUGGUUUCUUACUCUUAUGUAAGAUCUUUAAGGGAGGUCUAACAUGGUUCCAUAAUGGUGAUACUCCCACAGUACUUACCAGCAUGGGCAGAAGCAAAUCUUCUGUGGAGUCAAGACUUCCCCAGUAUUGGCCUGUAGAAUUCAUAUAUAUUAGCAAGCAAAGAACUACUAAAUAUCACUAUAUAUGUGAAGAGGCCAGACACUGAGAGUCAGACAAAACAACAAACAUUUUACUCCCAAGGAUUGCAGAUAAUGGAAUUCUUAGAGACAUAACAUAGUGUGCUUAAAUAAAGGCCACAAUAAAUUAACAGGAAUGAACAGCAGAUUAAAAGAUGAAUUCUAGCUGGGUGUAGUGGCACACACUUGUUUGUAAUCCUACUGGCUUGGGAAGCUGAGGCAAGAGGAUUAUGAGUUCAAAGCCAGCCUCAGCAAAAGCCAGGUGCUAAGCAACUCAGUGAGACCCUGUUUCUAAAUAAAAUACGAAAUAGGGCUGGGGAUGUGGUUCAGUGGUUGAGUGCCCCUGAGUUCAAUCCCCGGUACCCGCCCCCCUACCAAAAAAAAAAAAAAAAAAGACAAAUUCUAGAUAAAACAUAAUUGUUGAGAUAUAAUUUUUAAAAUUUAAAAUAUAAGUAUUAAAAUGUAAUUAUGGAAACUUAAACCUCAGUGAAUGAAUUAAAUGAUAAAUUAGACACAGCUGAGUGAAUAGCUGAGUAAUACAUAAUAUACAUUAAAUAAGUAUUCAGAUUAGAGCACAGAGACAAAGAGAUGGAAAUUAAGAAAAGGGAAGACAAAGUGAGGUCUAAUAUAGGUCUAAUUUUAAGUUCCCAAAAGAACACACAGAAUGAAUAUAAUAGUUGUGAAUUUCCUGACUUGAUUAGAAAGAUGAAUCUAAAAAUCCACAGAUCCUAGAAGCAAAUGCAUUAGAAACAGAAUAGAUAAGAUGAAAUUGAUAGGAGGCAAAGUAUCAAUUCUAAUUAUUCCAUCUAAAAGGCAUGCUUUCAAAUUCACAAUAGGUUACUGAACCAGCCUAGGUGUCCUGUCAACAGAUGAAUGGAUAAAGAAAAUAUGGUAAAUAGAUACAAUGGAGUUUUACUCAGCUAAAAAGAAGAAUGAAGUUACGUCACUUGCAGGAAAAUGGAUGGAACUGGAAAAAACACGUUAAGUGAAACAAGCCAGUCUCAGAAAGUCCAGUCAUUAUGUUUUAUCUGUGGAAGCUAGAGAGAAAAAAGGAAAAACAAAACAAAACAACCCCUCCUCAAAAAAAGGGGAGGAGGAUGGAUUUCAUAAAAAUAGAAGGCAAAUCAGCAAAGUAGAAGAAUAGGGUUAGUGGGAGGGAGAAGAGGAGGAAAAGGUGAGGUACUGGGGGAAUGAAAUUGACCAAGUUAUGUAUGUUAUGUGCAGGUAUGAAUAUAUCAAAAUGAACCCUGUUAUAAUGUAUAAUUAUAAUGUGCCAAUAAAAAAUUAAAAAUAAAGGGAAUAUUCCCUAUAUGACUUGCCUUUUUCCCC
RNAcentral lists this long non-coding RNA (6656 nucleotides) under Marmota monax (woodchuck). Lineage: Eukaryota; Metazoa; Chordata; Mammalia; Rodentia; Sciuridae. The record is from RNAcentral.